RNAcentral lists this long non-coding RNA (673 nucleotides) under Amphimedon queenslandica. RNAcentral describes it as "uncharacterized LOC109581865, transcript variant X2". Lineage: Eukaryota; Metazoa; Porifera; Demospongiae; Haplosclerida; Niphatidae. The record is from RNAcentral.
CAAAGCGUCUAGAGACAGGAAUGGAUCCAAUUAGUUAUGUGGGUGGUUUUAUAUCUGUAAUACGCAUGCGCAUUACUCCCUCAUGGACAAAAAUCACAAAAUGGCUGCCACCAACUGAGUGUUUUUCAUAUUUCUAGUGCUGUCUUUGUGGUUCCAGGCCUUUUUGCUAGUUGUUUGCAUGAGUUGGAUCACUGAUUAGACUAAUAGAACCUUGCAUUAGAAUGUAUCUUCUAAUUAUUCUUGUGUGAGGAAAUGGGCUUUUUAGUCUUUCCUGGGUUAUCAUUUGUUCCUUCCACCACAAUUACUCAUUUCAGAACUGCAUUUUAUACCUUGCCAGCGAAUUGGAUCACCAGAGGUUGCUCAUGAGUUUUUGCUUACAUGUGUAGUAGGAGACUAGGAGCUCAAAAUGUCACGAAAAGCUAUCAGUAUUGUUCAUGGUGGUGGACGAAACUCUGGAUACUAUAUUUGGAGAUGUUGAUAACAUUUCCCCAAGACUAGAUAUAUUAUCAACUCUUUAUUUCCCUUGGCACUACUUAAUGUGACACCAGUAUAUUUCUAGACUCAACAGAAUAACCUGAAAUCAAAUGUGUGGCUAAACAAGCAUUUAUUCAUGUUUGAACUGUUUUUUUACAUUUUUGUUUGAGUUAUGAACAUUAUAAAUUGAAGUACAAUU